Lagopus muta (rock ptarmigan) is the source of this 4832-nucleotide RNA transcript. It is a transcript of the gene named polypeptide N-acetylgalactosaminyltransferase 11, with no coding region annotated. NCBI's taxonomy places the organism in Eukaryota, Metazoa, Chordata, Aves, Galliformes, Phasianidae. The record is from RefSeq and is a predicted model, not a curated record. The transcript is spliced from 11 exons.
GUAAUUGAGAAUGGGUCCUCAACAAUGCUGAGUGUACAAUGGGAAGCGUCACGCUCCGCUAUUUCUGUUAUGGGUGCCUUUUCACAUCGGUGACCUGGACACUUCUGCUCUUUGUUUAUUUCAACUUCAGUGAAGAGAACCAAUCCUUCAAGAAUGUGCCCGUCAAGGGGCUAGAACCUCAGAAGCCAUUUCCAAAAAAAUUCUACCCCCGUUUCACUCGGGGGCCAGUUAACAUACCUGAAUUGCAGCAGAAAGAGAGUAAAUUUAGAAAUCCUAUUGGAAAUCAUGUCCAGGACCCAGUAAAGGGAGAGGGAGACUUCUCUCCUGAAAUGGGAAUGAUUUUUAAUGAAGAAGAUCAGGAGGUCCGAGACUUGGGCUAUCAGAAGCAUGCUUUCAAUAUGCUCAUCAGUAACCGGCUGGGGUAUCACAGGGAGGUUCCUGAUACAAGAGAUGCAAAGUGUAGAGAGAAAUCCUACCCUUCUGAUCUGCCAUUUGCCAGUGUUAUCAUCUGUUUCUACAAUGAAGCACUUUCUGCCCUGCUUCGCACGGUGCACAGUGUCCUGGAUCGCACUCCUGCACACCUUCUUCAUGAAAUUAUUUUGGUGGAUGACAACAGUGAACUGGCUGACUUGAAGAAAGACUUGGUUGAAUAUGUUAAAACUCAGCUUCCUAAAACAACAAAACUAGUAAGAAAUGAGAAGCGGGAAGGUUUGAUUCGAGGAAGGAUGAUUGGAGCCUCUCAUGCUACAGGAAAAGUGCUGGUUUUCCUGGACAGUCACUGUGAGGUAAAUGAGAUGUGGCUGCAACCUUUGCUGACUCCAAUCAAAGAAGACCACAGGACUGUGGUGUGCCCUGUGAUUGACAUCAUCAGUGCUGACACGCUUACCUACAGCUCUUCCCCAGUUGUGCGUGGAGGGUUUAACUGGGGCCUGCACUUUAAGUGGGAUCUUGUUCCUUUGUCAGAGCUUGAAGGUCCUGAGGGAGCCACUGCUCCAAUCAAAUCACCCACUAUGGCUGGAGGCCUGUUUGCCAUGGACCGUGAGUACUUUAAUGAGCUUGGACAGUAUGACAGUGGCAUGGACAUCUGGGGAGGAGAAAAUCUGGAGAUAUCUUUUCGGAUUUGGAUGUGUGGGGGUCGACUUCUGAUCAUUCCCUGCUCCAGAGUGGGACACAUUUUCCGUAAGAGACGUCCCUAUGGCUCUCCAGGGGGACAGGACACUAUGGCUCAUAAUUCAUUGAGGCUGGCACACGUGUGGAUGGAUGAAUACAAAGAGCAGUAUUUUGCUUUGAGACCUGAGCUAAGGACAAGGCACUAUGGAAAUAUAACUGAUCGUGUAGAACUGAGAAAAAGAUUGAACUGCAAGUCAUUCAAGUGGUAUUUAGAUAACAUCUAUCCUGAGAUGCAAGUAUCCGGGCCCAAUGCCAAAGCUCCACAGCCAGUUUUUAUUAAUAGAGCACAAAAGCGACCAAAAGUAAUCCAGCGUGGAAGGCUGUAUCACCUUCAAACCAACAAAUGCCUGGUUGCUCAGGGCCACCCAAGUCAGAAAGGAGGCCUGGUGGUGGUUCGGGAGUGCGACUACAAUGAUCAAAACCAGCAAGUUCUUUGGCUGCAGAUUGCUGUUCUGGAGCUUAAUUGGGAAUGGAUGUGAACAUCCAAUGAUAGAGGCUUCAUGUAGUGAUAUAAAAACUGCUGUUCCACUUCUUUCUGACAACAGAAAUUCAGGACUCAAGGCUACUUUUUACCAUGUGAAUAGAUAGCAGUCUCAGUAAGUUGAAGGAACAAAGUGAACUCUACGUGGGAAAACAUGUGAAGGUCUUGGAAACAACGCUGCCCUUCUUGAGACUCACUGAGCACAGUACUUUGGACUGGAAAAUGGUCUUCUGCAUGAUUUUGUAGUUAGAAAUAGCACAGGUAGAAAUAGUGGAAGGGUCUGGUAGAAACAAGAUCAGAGAUAAGAAGCCUGAAGUAACAGAAGCUGAGGAGCAGAAAUACUGAGUGAGAAUUUUGCAAGCAGAAGGCUAACAUGGAAUUAACGUUGUGUAGUUGAAGAGUGGUUGUGUGGAGAUGCCAAGACAGCUGAAGUGAACUCUUCUGCUCAGUCUGCAGUGUGUGACCUCUUUCCAUAAACGAAACUGGGAAUGCACAAGGUAGCACACAGCAUGAAACUUGGGUGGUGAAGGAGGCCAAAAAGCAUUUAAGGGCUUCAAAAGGUCAGACAUCUCCAUCUCUGUCUUUCACAAUGAAAUGCAGAAAUAAACAAACAAAAACUAGCACCCCAAGUGUUGUGGAUUCUACCAGAAAUGUUGUCUAAGGUUAAUAGAUGGUGAUUGGGCAGCAAAGGUGCUGAAGUUCUUCAUGACAGAUGCUCCAAAGGAAAAAGUAGUUACUAGUAAACUUGUAAGAGGAGCUUCAGAGACCCCAGUGAAGAUUUUUGGAAUGAAGCAUGAAGGCCAACAGAAGAUGUAACUAGUGGGCCUGGCUGUGAUCUAGAUUGGCUCUCAUGUGCCUAAUGCCUGCUUAUUUUCUACCUGACCUAAAUGCUUCAAGUCAAGCUGCUUUUCAAAAAAAAAUUCUCCUAGUCUGCUGAGUAGUGUUUUGGUUUUUUUUUUCCUAUUCUCUUGGUUUCACCUCUUCUCUGUUCAUUUGUUUCACUUCAGUAACUUAAGCUUUCUUUAACUUAGGCUUCACAGUUGUGAAUGCUGCCCUUGAGGCUGGGGUUAGCUGGUGGGUGUCUGUGCUCAGCUGCAUGGGGUUGGGAAGUCACAAGAGCUGUUAACCUCUUGUAGCACUCCAUCAGUGUAAGCAUGUGUAAUUCUGACUCUUGAACUGUUUGUAGGAGGAUGAGCUUUAAGUGCUACAGCUCUUCUGUAGGGUUCUCCUCCCUAAAUCUCUGCAUCAUGGGUGUAAGUUUUGUUUUUCUGAUGCAUUUGCCUGGAGUGAGUGUGGAGAAGUGUGAGCUAUCUCUACUGCUGCAUUUUCAUCAGCCCAUUGAAGGACAUGAUCCCACAGUUCCUCUUCAAAUGCUCAGCCACACACUGAGAUACGAAAUAGGAUCACAUGGACAUCAGCAAUGCCUUCAGGAGGACGAUGAGUCUCCUGGAUGGCAGUAGCUUAAAGUAAUGAUUGCAGAUCCCGUGCUUUGCCUUUGCUGCUGACUUUCACAAGUUAUUUGGUGCUGUGAUGUCACUGCUAGCCACUAGAAACAUGAACUGAAGGGCUGCACGUAGCUGUAAUGAUGCAGUCGCUGGGCACAACUUGUCCUCAUGCUGAGGUGGCUGCUUGGUGCUCUUCAGCUUCAUUUUGUCAUUUAAAAAACUCUGGAAUAAUGCACUGGUGCCAAUGUAAGCAACAGAUGGCAGCUGCUUGGAGUGCUGGAAUGCCUGUGCUGGCAGCAGAGCCCACAGCCAUAAUUCUGUCACACACAGAGCUGGUUCUGUAAUAGUUGCUGGCUUGCAUUUAUUGGAGUGAAGUUUUUCAUUGCAUUCCUCUCCUCCUAAUGCAAUUUACAGAUGAAAUGAGUGUGCAUCCACAGAGCUUUGCCAGCUGCCCCCUGUGCCUUUUGCUACCAGCAUUGCGCUCUGAGAGCCGAAGUCCUUCACUUACUAUUGGUUUGAUUUUUUUUUUUUUCCCAGGUUGAGUGCUGGGUUUUGUUUUAGUACAGCCAUCUGUAUUGACCUGGACUCAAAGUCUGAUAUAGUUAACUGCUCUUGUCCUGAGGAAGUGGCAGUGUGGGGCCUUCUUCCCUGCCUUGGGCACUGUUCCAUCCCUAUCCUCACUUGGAUGUCCCCAGAAGAAGUUCAGCUGCCUCUUAUUCAUUUGCACUAACCAUACUGUGGAUAAUUUCAUCUUUUGGUAGUAUAAAAUAAGUUAAUAACACAGCCCUGUAUAUCUUCAUUAUGGCAAAAGAAAAUGAAAAAUAAAAAAAAAUGCCAGAAGAAUCUCUGGAUUUCUGCAUGGUCAGCCUAUGGCAAUGAGGAUGAUGGAUAAUGUUCAUCGUCCAUCCAUGUGGCAGCAGGAAAAUGUUUAAUAAAUUCCAGAGUGCCUGAAGACUUUCAGUUUUAUGAUAAGGGGUGGCUUUGCUUUCCAUGUGCUGGAAUCUGCUAACAGUCUGCAUGUUUACAGCAAUACUUAAAUUUGAGUUUGGAGCAACAACAUCUCCAGUGACUAAUCUCCAAUUACUACAUAUUGGGCUACAGCUUGAUACAUCCUCACUAUAUAAAGAGGAGGGGAAGGGGGAGUAGUGGCUGCUCCUGACUCCUCAUGUACCUUCAGGCCUUGUUUUUCUUUUUCCCUUGUUUUCUACUCCAAACAUGUAAUUAGUUUGAAAUUCAUUUGGGCUGCCUGGUAUCAGCCUUUCUGGAGAAGAAGCACGGCUUUCUCUGCUGUUGUGUGCUCUUGGUGCCCAUAGCACAAAGUGAGGUAAACUCCUUUGUGUUUCUGGCCAAGUGCAGCUGUUUCCAGGAAGACUCAAGGUACUUUUUGGCUUUGUGUCCUGCCUGCCUGAUGGCACUUGGCCCAGCUAAGGAGAUCCACCAUCCUCCUCAUCCUCAGGGAUGGACUUAAUGUGAUGUGAUGGUGAGCUUGGGAGAGGGGCUGCAUGUUGCUGUCAUCCCCAGAGGACAGGAGGAACGGGUAGGUGUGCUUUAUUUCUACAUAGGGUCUCACGUGGUCCUCUGAGCACCUCUGCAUAGGAUAAUGCUGUUUGGUGUUGGGAAGGUGGUGGAGCACUGCAGCUGCUUUCCAGGCUCUGCUGGGAAAAAAGAAGCCAGCAAAGCAACAGCAGGUGUGGCAAGGCAUCUCUGUGAGGCCUUGUAACUCUGCAAUUGACAUC